This is a long non-coding RNA of Limulus polyphemus (Atlantic horseshoe crab), 356 nucleotides long. RefSeq lists it as uncharacterized. The record is from RefSeq and is a predicted model, not a curated record. Lineage: Eukaryota; Metazoa; Arthropoda; Merostomata; Xiphosura; Limulidae. The transcript is spliced from 3 exons.
UAUUUUAUCUUUUCUGUACUUUUACGCAGGUGUCACUCCAUCCUUAUUUUUGGACGUUCCAGAGACAUCAGAUAGCAAUGGUCGUCUGCGUAUUACUGGAGAAUUUGGUGAUGUAGAGGGUGUAUACGUAAUUAACAAAACGAAAGAAAUUCACCUGCGAAAACAAAAUAUAAUUAUAUUUCUUCAAACAGACAAGCCAAUAUACAAACCCGGACAAACAGUUAAGUUUCGAGUUUUGCCCGUUUUAAACACUCAGCUGAAGCCUAUUGGUGGUAAAGAGCAAGGAAAAAUAUGGAUUGAAGAUCCAAAAAGAAUACGUGUGGCCCAGUGGUUAAAUGUAUCAUUUGCUGAUCGUA